RNAcentral lists this ribosomal RNA (207 nucleotides) under uncultured bacterium. RNAcentral's name for it is "partial 16S ribosomal RNA". It matches the Rfam family "Bacterial small subunit ribosomal RNA", at positions 109 to 334 of the family's 1533-position model. The record is from RNAcentral.
AGUAACGCGUGAGAAUCUGCCUUCAGGUUCGGGACAACAGCUGGAAACGGCUGCUAAUACCGGAUGUGCCGAGAGGUGAAAGCUUAAGUGCCUGGAGAUGAGCUCGCGUCUGAUUAGCUAGUAGGAGUGGUAACGGCACCCCUAGGCGACGAUCAGUAGCUGGUCUGAGAGGAUGAUCAGCCACACUGGGACUGAGACACGGCCCAG